Molecule: small RNA, 185 nt
Filed under: Chrysemys picta bellii (western painted turtle)
Lineage: Eukaryota; Metazoa; Chordata; Testudines; Emydidae
Description: TUC338 (ENSCPBG00000023979.1)
Source: RNAcentral
AAGUGUGUAUUCGAAUCUGAAUUCCUCGAAGAACACCAGAACGAUACAGCACUAGCAGCAGUGGUGCUAGCCACAUUCCCACCAUCACUUCUUCACCAAUGUGUUUCCACCCUGUUGUGGUGGGACCACAUCUAGUGGGCGUGAAGGUAGGUCAGUCUCCAUGGCCCAUUCUGUCUUUGGCCUCU